Small nuclear RNA from Monodelphis domestica (gray short-tailed opossum), 107 nucleotides. The record is from Ensembl. NCBI's taxonomy places the organism in Eukaryota, Metazoa, Chordata, Mammalia, Didelphimorphia, Didelphidae.
GUAUAAUAUAAGAGAACACAUAUUCUAAAACCAGAAUUAUACAAAGAAGAUUACUAUAGUCCCUACAAAAGAAUGUCAUGCAUAUUUGUGAAGCAUUCCACAAUUUU